Molecule: ribosomal RNA, 253 nt
Filed under: uncultured bacterium
Lineage: Bacteria
Description: partial 16S ribosomal RNA
Rfam family: Bacterial small subunit ribosomal RNA
Source: RNAcentral
UACGUAGGGGGCAAGCGUUGUCCGGAUUUAUUGGGCGUAAAGAGCGUGUAGGCGGCCCAGUAGGUCCGUUGUGAAAACUCGAGGCUCAACCUCGAGACGCCGAUGGAAACCAUUUGGCUAGAGUCCGGAAGAGGAGAGUGGAAUUCCUGGUGUAGCGGUGAAAUGCGCAGAUAUCAGGAAGAACACCCGUGGCUAAGGCGGCUCUCUAGUACGGUACUGACGCUGAGACGCGAAAGCGUGGGGAGCGAACAGG